This 717-nucleotide long non-coding RNA is filed under the name Elaeis guineensis (African oil palm). Its description in RNAcentral is "long non-coding RNA (EGUI_LNC004268)". Lineage: Eukaryota; Viridiplantae; Streptophyta; Magnoliopsida; Arecales; Arecaceae. The record is from RNAcentral.
GUAGAAGAAAUUGGUUCUCAUUACGGUGAAUAUAAUCAACGAGGUCCUGAUCUAAGUCAGAAUUUCAGACAUAAAAAAUACUAGACCAAAGUUUCUCUGACUUGGGUGAUUGGAAAUGUUUUUUCCACCGGUAUUUUCAGCUUUCCAGCUUCUGAUGGUUUGCAGAUCUUACCUAGACCUUCAGCAUCAGCCCUCAUGUAUGUCCACCAAUACUCUAGCACCAAAUAAUAGACUGGAAUUAUUACAUUAAUGAUGAUCAUGAAUCCCCUUCAAACAAUCAAGCAUCAAUAGGAUUAUUUUUUAAAUUGGAAAUCAGAUCAUGCACUGGAGGGAAAAAAAGACUGCAUAUUUGACAGCUUACAAACUAUGAUCUCAAAUUCACUGAUAAAGAGAAACAGGCAUAUUGGUUAGUACUUUUUGGCUCAUCUGACCAGGCAGUUAGCAAAAGGAUGGUUGACAACAAGAGCCAAUAUGGCUAAUUAAAAGGUAUAACAUCAGAACCAAUCUGUGGAUUUGAAGAGGAAGAAUCCUCCCUAAAAAAAAAAAGUAAAAGAAAAAAAGAAAAAAGAAAGAAAAAAGAAAAUAAGGGAAACAAAAGAGGUGAGGGUUUCUCUCUCUCUUCCCUCUCUAUUCUCUAUACAUUCUCUCUCCAUGUUUUCUUUCUAUAUAAGUUUUUAUCUAUAGAAUUUUCUGUUUAGGAAUUUUAUGAAUGAAAGA